Molecule: signal recognition particle RNA, 101 nt
Filed under: Rheinheimera sp. A13L
Lineage: Bacteria; Pseudomonadati; Pseudomonadota; Gammaproteobacteria; Chromatiales; Chromatiaceae
Description: Bacterial signal recognition particle RNA
Rfam family: Bacterial small signal recognition particle RNA
About the family: The signal recognition particle (SRP) is a universally conserved ribonucleoprotein involved in the co-translational targeting of proteins to membranes. Archaeal SRP consists of a 7S RNA and homologues of the eukaryotic SRP19 and SRP54 proteins.
Source: RNAcentral
UCAUCGGUCCUCCCGCAAUACUAAUUCGUUCACCUGGUCAGAUCCGGAAGGAAGCAGCCAAAGCGGAUAACGUAUGUGCCGGGAUGUCGGCUGGUGAGGUC